RNAcentral lists this long non-coding RNA (255 nucleotides) under Lathyrus oleraceus (garden pea). RNAcentral's name for it is "Pisum sativum (pea) long non-coding RNA (PSAT_LNC007503)". Lineage: Eukaryota; Viridiplantae; Streptophyta; Magnoliopsida; Fabales; Fabaceae. The record is from RNAcentral.
UUUAAAUCAACUUGGAUAAGUCCAAUUGCAUCAUCAUAAGUCUAACAUGGUCAAACAAGGUUUGACAAAUUUUCUCAACAUUUUUUGAAAACAGAAAUUAUUUUAAAAUCAAUUAAAAGCAUUAAAAUAUAACACAAAUGAAUUAAAAUCUCAAAUAAAUCUCAAAUCAAUUAUGAAAUUGAUGAGAAUAUUUUCAUAGACUUAUCAUGAUCCAAAUGUGUUAAGAAAAUAUUUUUGGAAUUUUUGAAUAUCAAA